CGCCUCUUGUAAAAAAAGAAAAAUAAGAGGUCCCGCCUGCCCUGUGACUAUAUGUUUAACGGCCGCGGUAUUUUGACCGUGCGAAGGUAGCGCAAUCACUUGUCUUUUAAAUGGGGACCUGUAUGAAUGGCAAAACGAAGGCUUAACUGUCUCCUCUUUCAAGUCAAUGAAAUUGAUCUACCCGUGCAGAAGCGGGCAUAUCACCAUAAGACGAGAAGACCCUAUGGAGCUUCAGACACUAAGGCAGAUCAUAAUCUUCACGCCUAAACAAAGGGCUAUAAACCUAAUGAAGCCUGCCCUAAUGUCUUUGGUUGGGGCGACCAUGGGGAAACAAAAAACCCCCACAUGGAAUGGGCACACAGUUCCUAAAAACAAGAGCCACAGCUCUAAUUAACAAUACUUAUGACCAAUUAAGAUCCGGCAACGCCGAUUAAUGAACCAAGUUACCCUAGGGAUAACAGCGCAAUCCCCUUUAAGAGUCCAUAUCGACAAGGGGGUUUACGACCUCGAUGUUGGAUCAGGACAUCCUAAUGGUGCAGCCGCUAUUAAGGGUUCGUUUGUUCAACGAUUAACAGUCCU
RNAcentral lists this ribosomal RNA (579 nucleotides) under Saloptia powelli. RNAcentral describes it as "partial 16S ribosomal RNA". It matches the Rfam family "Bacterial large subunit ribosomal RNA", at positions 1816 to 2597 of the family's 2925-position model. Lineage: Eukaryota; Metazoa; Chordata; Actinopteri; Perciformes; Serranidae. The record is from RNAcentral.